CAUGAACAACCAGCAUUUUAUUGCAUUUUUAGAAAGCUUACGUCAGUUACUGAGACUGACUGUACAACAAAAUAGUCUGCAUCAGACAGACCAGGAAUGAUGAGGAGAAUACAGACUGAUGAUGGAGGUGAUGAGCAGGAUCUUUAGUUAAUAAACAGAAAACUACAGAGUACAGCUUCAACAGAAAACUAACUUAGCUGCUGCAUUAAAGCACUGUGACAGCUAUUCUCCUGUACCCUCCUUCCUCUCUCCAUCCAUCCUCCCUCCACCCCUCCUCCAGAAGCAUGGGUUAAGAGGGUGAUGGUACAACACAGUGGUGAAUGACAGUGGGGUGGUCAUGAUUGAUGGAACCGUGGUAAAUUAGCAUGGCUGCAAGUGUCUUGAGGGGAAAUCUAAUGCCACCUACCACAGAGCACAGCAAAGUCAUAAGGUUACUGAUAUUUCUUGUUUUACAAUCAACAUAUAUCAAGGAUGAGUACAGAGUCCGAUUCACAUCCGACUUUUAGCCUUUAACCUUUGUGCUCCACUUAAGUCGGCUACCUGCUGUGCUUGAUUUUUACUGAUCAAAAAAUAAACAUUUCCAAACAGUUGAGAUAUAGAUAUUUAGAGGCCAACUAAAAAGCGAUAUGUAUUUCACCUAAUGAGGAUGUACUGAACAUGAUGAUGACACAUCUUUGAUAAUAUAUGUAGGAAUGAAUGGAUUCCUCUGGGGAAAAAACAAAGCAUUUAACAAAUAUUCUUUACAUCUUGGCACUGCAUAUUUUUCUUCUUUUCCCUAUUUGUUUCAUAUAAAAUAUCAUUAGAUUGAUACACCCUUAUAUUAUUACUGACCACUUAACCAUUAUUUUUCAUCUCUGUGACCCUGGAAUUAGUCAUGCAAGAUAUCUCCGUCUUGUAGAGAAAAUAUACCUGUCUGCCAUUUCUCUGAGCACUAAUGUUUAUAGCCACAGAAGGCAGUGGUUAGACCAUCAAAAGGAAGUAUCAAAAACAGCUUAACACACGGAAGAAAACAAUAUGUACAAAAUCCUUAGGUCAAUGAUAACAGAGAAAAGUCUGUUUUCUAUUUUACAGUUUAAAAUCCAAAAUCUGGGAUAAUCCCCAACCCUGCCCCGCCCAUCUCACACAGAUGUCUGCAUGUAUGACUUUUUAAGCAAGGAUUACUAAGUAAAAUACAUUUGCAGCACAGUUUGCUAUUCCAAUACAUACAGCAGUUUUCAUAGCUAUUUUAUAGUUCAUACAAAGCCGUUGUGAUAAAGCAAAAAGAAUAACACAAAUGCAUUUUUGAUCUUUGAAAGACACAAGGAAAGAAAAUGACAAGAAAAAGACAAGGCUAUACUGACAUGUACGUACACCCUACUGUUGGAAAGCCCAUGACCAAACAAAUGACAAUAGAUUGUGGAAAAUGGGAUGAAAUAAAGCUGGGUGAUUUCUUAAUGAAAAAAGGCCUAAGGUUUGGAUUGUGAGACCCUCAAGAUAACCAAGGUCUAAUUUUAUAUUCAUAUACUUUUUUGGGGUGUUUUUUACAAAAAAAAUCUCUCUCUCCAGUAUUAGACUACACAUGCAAGACAUAGAACAAAGUACAACUGGGUGAAAGUUUUUUUUUCACUUUUCAUUGAAUUAUUCCCUAUAGGUUGGAACUGAGGUAUGCAUACAGUUUUCGCAGGCUGUUAUCUUUAGUAAUGUCAAGCUACACAUACUGAGAAUGUUCAAAUCUCCCCCUUUACAAUACCAAGCAAACCAGCAAAAGACUAGAUUUGGAUGAGCUCAAGUUGUUCUCACGAUCCCAGUCCGGCUGUUACUGACCCAUCCCACAGCUGCAUGAUAAUGGAUAUUAAAUACAUUUUCUGAAAACCACAGACUGCCCUUUUCAUGUGUAAUAGUAAAUGCAUGGUGGAAUGUUCAAAUAACUGCCAUAAAGUACCCUGUACCCAGCUUAUUAGUUGACAGGAGUGUUUUUUAAUAUAAAAAGUAAUACGUUGACAGAAACUAAACACAAUCAUAAAGCCUUACCAAUGUUAACAAAGAACAGUAGAAUCCCAUCAAGAUAGCAGGACUCACUCAAAAGUGGCAUACAAUCAUUGGAAAGGAUACAAAUUCAUAAAGAAUAAAACAAAAUAUUUAAUCAUUGGGUGGUCCAGUUGAAGUAUAGAAUCCUUUUCACAUUGUUCUCUACAAAGCUCUCCUGUCUACUGCUAAAUCAUUGCCAUCCUCAUUGUGACCAUAAUCUCCUUUCAUCCCUCUAGGUUGCACAGCAAUCUGCUGCUGAUAGACAGAGUGAUGCCUUUUCCUCUCGUUGGCCCAAAGAAUAUGUUCCCCUAAUUUGGUCAUAAUGUUUGUCUGACUCUCUGCAUCUCCCUUUCAGUUGUGGUCACUGCAAAGUCCUGCAGCUACUGCACUCAACAAGAGACUCCUUUGGCUUUAAAGCUAAUGACAGUCAGACAGCUUGAGGAGCGUCCUCUCUAAUCAAUGUGCAAUUGGAUUGACACAGUUGAGACUAUACUCCAUCUUUAGAUCCUUUCACAGCCAAUGGGAGAGAAUGGAGGAUAUUUGGCCUUAUCUGCUAUUGCAUGAAACAGAGAACAUUGUUUUUACUUUGUAGUUUAUCUUUGGUAGUCACAGAACAAGAUUUUAGAAACAUCAACAACUAAAAACAAAAGUUACAAAUAAAAAAAGAAAUAAUAAUAAAUAAAAAAUGCAAAGUGGUUGGUUGCAGUCUUUAAAAAGUAAUGUUUGUGAGUCUUUGUAUGAGCCUGUUUCAUAUCAUAAACCAACACUACAGUAGGAUCAAGCCCAUUUGUAUUCAGCCUCACAGCCCCAGCAUCAAUCCCAUCCACCCUAUUGCAGGGUCUACAUCACUACUCUGACUUAGUCAUUGGGUUCUGCUGAUGUUGACCCCAAACAGUACCCAGAUCAUCAGUUACCUUGUGGUGUGUGGGUUUCUGGGGGCAUAACAUGUCUGCCAAUACUGGAAUGAAGCAAUGAUCAGGUCUUAUUGCCAGUUUUUGGGAUUAUCCCUAAAUUAAGAACAUGAAUAUUUCAUCUGAUGUGUGUAAUUAUUAAUAAUCACAAACAAAUUUGAGAGCCAACUGGUCAUGCAUAUGGUAAAAAAAAAUAACUUUGAUAUCUUCAAGCAAGGCCAAACAAUCCUUCCAUGACUGAAAUUACACUGUGGAAAACUAUACAUGUUUGAACUACAAUGAGAGUUGUGUUCAGGAAUCACAAUUAGUUGGUCUAAAAUAUUAUCUUUGUAAUACACACCUGACAUUUGAUUUUCUUUCUUAAACUGGGAGCUUGCGAAUGAUCAGAAAUUUGGUUGCAGCUAACGCACUGCCCUGAAGGGCUGUUUUAAAAUAUAAUUGAAUGAGGAUAAAUCAUAACCUGCAUGAUUUCUCUGUCAUUCAUUCCCAUCUUAAAUGAAACUUCAUUGAUGCGUGGAGAGAGCCUUCAUUAUGAGUAGUGCAUUGUGGAUGGACUUGAUGAGCUUGGGGGGAUGCGAUGAGGAUGGACUUGAUGAGCUUG
Molecule: long non-coding RNA, 3519 nt
Organism: Oncorhynchus tshawytscha (Chinook salmon)
Lineage: Eukaryota; Metazoa; Chordata; Actinopteri; Salmoniformes; Salmonidae
Source: Ensembl